Molecule: long non-coding RNA, 734 nt
Organism: Passer domesticus (house sparrow)
Lineage: Eukaryota; Metazoa; Chordata; Aves; Passeriformes; Passeridae
Exons: 3
Source: RefSeq, a predicted model, not a curated record
UCUUUCUGUUCAAACUCCUCUCCCUUAGUGGAUUAUCCAGAAACCCCUCCCAUGGAGCCUCUGAGGUGCCUCUGAUUCAGCAGCCACAUGAAGCAGAUAACUCUGUAUUUUGAAAGGCAGCCCUAAUGGCUCCCAUUUUGUGCUCUGGGGCAUAAACUGAUUACGGCUGCAGUCAGAAAGGAAGGCUGGCUGUGAAUCUCUGCCUGCUGCUCUGGGAAACAGGCUGGAUCCAUGCAGACUGUGUUCCUCUGCUGCUGGCUCCUCAUCCUGCUGUUAACGUGAGGCUUGCUCUGAAUGCAAUUACAAACUGACAGAUCCUUGGAGAGGAAAUGGAACUUAGUCAGCACACUGAAGAUCCUGUGCUGCUCUGGUGUAUAACUCUAAAACUAUAACUCUAAACUCCACAGCCUGUCAGCCAUCAUUCUUCCACUUUAUUCAGACACAACAAUUCCUCUCUGGGUUUGGAACUCAAGGACACCUCACUGCCUCAGGCCCCAAAAAGUAUAAACUCAAGUGAAUUGGGAGAGCAAACUGGGGGCAAAUGACUUCAUUACCUGCAGCUGGAAUUGGAGCAUUAACCCCUGAUAUGUGAAUGUCCCAAACUGAUAAUCAUGUGAAAAACUCGUGCCCAUCGCCCACCUUGGCUGCAGCCUCUGGAGGCUGUGGCUGCCCAAGCUGUGCCUGCUGAAGGCUUUAAUAAAUCCCCACUUUAUUCUCUUAACCUUGCCUGGCCU